Molecule: ribosomal RNA, 492 nt
Filed under: uncultured bacterium
Lineage: Bacteria
Description: partial 16S ribosomal RNA
Rfam family: Bacterial small subunit ribosomal RNA
Source: RNAcentral
AGUGAACGCUGGCGGUAGGCCUAACACAUGCAGGUCGAACGGCAGCACAGUAAGAGCUUGCUCUUACGGGUGGCGAGUGGCGGACGGGUGAGGAAUACAUCGGAAUCUACUUUUUCGUGGGGGAUAACGUAGGGAAACUUACGCUAAUACCGCAUACGACCUACGGGUGAAAGCAGGGGAUCUUCGGACCUUGCGCGAUUGAAUGAGCCGAUGUCGGAUUAGCUAGUUGGCGGGGUAAAGGCCCACCAAGGCGACGAUCCGUAGCUGGUCUGAGAGGAUGAUCAGCCACACUGGAACUGAGACACGGUCCAGACUCCUACGGGAGGCAGCAGUGGGGAAUAUUCGACAAUGGGCGCAAGCCUGAUCCAGCCAUACCGCGUGGGUGAAGAAGGCCUUCGGGUUGUAAAGCCCUUUUGUUGGGAAAGAAAAGCAGCAGGUUAAUACCCCGCUGUUCUGACGGUACCCAAAGAAUAAGCACCGGCUAACUUCGUG